GACGUAGGGCGCGAGCGUUGUCCGGAUUUAUUGGGCGUAAAGAGCUUGUAGGCGGCUUGUUGCGUCGACUGUGAAAACCCGCGGCUUAACUGCGGGCUUGCAGUUGAUACGGGCAGGCUAGAGUUCGGUAGGGGAGACUGGAAUUCCUGGUGUAGCGGUGAAAUGCGCAGAUAUCAGGAGGAACACCGGUGGCGAAGGCGGGUCUCUGGGCCGAUACUGACGCUGAGGAGCGAAAGCGUGGGGAGCGAACAGG
Molecule: ribosomal RNA, 253 nt
Filed under: uncultured bacterium
Lineage: Bacteria
Description: partial 16S ribosomal RNA
Rfam family: Bacterial small subunit ribosomal RNA
Source: RNAcentral